UGAGAUCUUGAGCACAUUGUAAUUUUUUUUGAAAAUUAGCCUUUGGCAAUCCUUUCCUGAAAACUUGAGAAACAGAGUGUUUUCCUCCGUCUAUGACAAGGUAGCAGGCAUGCUUUGAUGCUUCUGAUGGACAAUGGAAUGAAAAUAGGCAGAUGCGGUGUGAUUAGAACCACAUUUAACAUUCAUAAGAAAAAAAGACUGGACAAGGUAUACCAAAAUGUGUUAGACUGGCAUUUUUCUUUAUUAUAUUUUCCAAAAAUUUAAAAAUAUGGGCUGAUGCUUACCUUUGUUAGGAGAAAUAUAGUGAAGCUAAAGUCUAAGCCUUUGUUUAAUUGAUGGAUUAGUGAUUGUUUUAUGGAUCUCAAAGGGCUGGGGAGAGGCCUCUGUACAGCCACUGCGGUCGGUCAGUGGGCAGUUCUGCUGGAGAGUGAAGGAACAUGUGAUGAUAGUAAUAGUAAUAAUAACAAUAAUCAGUAUAUAUAGUGUCCCAGGAAUUGUACUAAGCAGCAUCUCAUUUAACCCUCUCAACAACCCUUUGAUAUAGCUAUUUGCAGUAUGCCCAUUUUACAGAUGAGGAAACUGAGAAGGUUAGGAAACUUAGGAGGUUUAGGUGACUUGUCCAACUAGUACCGUAUGUGGUGGAGAAGGCAUUGGAACUUGGGUUCCUAACCUCCUUGCUACCUGUGCCAUGUGGAAAAUGCUGGAAGUCCUGGGAUCCUCUUCUGAAAAAUCACCCCCACUGCCUGCAUCCAAGGCCUCAGAAUCUAUUCAUCCCUGAGGCAUUUACUGAACUUCCUUGUGUCCCCGCUGAGGCUAAAGCGUGGCCAGAGUCUUCCGGUACCUCAGGAGCCAGGAGGAGCAGGCAGGGAGCAGCACUGCAGUCCUCCUGCCUCCGGUGUCUCCCCUCCCCUGCAUGGCUGCCACAAGCCAUUUCGGUCAGUGGGAAGGUGGGCGCAGAGCAUUGCCGGGGGCGAGCACCUGAACGCGCCAGUCAGAGCCCACCUUUUCCAGGAUGUUUGCACUCGGGCCAGGUCCUGUCUUCCCAAGGCCUAAUGGUGUGUGAGACGCAGCCCAGAGAAGGCCACAGCGGUGGGUGCCCAAGACGCCGGGACAGUGGGCAGACCAGGCCGCAGGAGGUCUGAGCAAGGGGUCUACACGCUCCGAGGUCCAGCACGCCCAGCGUGGGUUCCAGAACACGGGCCAGGGCACUCUUAACCAUUUCUCAUUUCCUUCAGUCUGUCCAAGUUGGGUUCCUGACACCUGUAACCAAGGACUCCUGCUGACGUGGCCCCCGAGGUGGUCAGGCUCAGCCGAGGGUCAUUCACGCUGACGCAGAGAGGCUGACCGGCGGAUCAGGGAGCUGUUGGUCUUACUGUGAGAAAUGCGACUGCUCACUGCGUCACCUUUCCUGUCAUUAUUGCUAGUGUCUCCUUUCCCUGGGGAAAAGCCACCUGGAUUGACAGACGGCCUCUCGGAACCUGCUUGGCGGGCAGGCCCUCGCGCCGGCGGUGUCCUUACAGCCAGUGGCUUCAAGCUAGGAUUGCCCAGAAGUCAAAAAACUGUUUCUGUUAAGGAAAAACAUUUUAGACUUUGCAGCCUUUGUUGCAGCUAUUCAACUCUGCCACUGUAGUGUGAAAACAGCCAAAGACACAAUAUAAAUGAGUGUGCACAUACCUGUGUCCCAAUAAAACUUUAUUUAU
Microcebus murinus (gray mouse lemur) is the source of this 1700-nucleotide non-coding RNA. The record is from RefSeq and is a predicted model, not a curated record. NCBI's taxonomy places the organism in Eukaryota, Metazoa, Chordata, Mammalia, Primates, Cheirogaleidae.